This 803-nucleotide non-coding RNA is filed under the name Pan troglodytes (chimpanzee). The record is from RNAcentral. Lineage: Eukaryota; Metazoa; Chordata; Mammalia; Primates; Hominidae.
AACCAAGAGAGCGGGCAGACAGAUUUUAUGUAAGAGAGAAAAGUUGGAUGCUCACGCUCCAUGGAGCAUCCUCCCGUUUCCCGGGGAAAAGCGGAUCCCGGAGAAGCAGCCUAAUCUCUCAGCCCUUGUGGAGAAGGGAAUAUCAGAAGCAGGACGAAAGCCAGGUCAAGUCUCUUUCCUUAGGCUCCCCAAAGGGACAAGUACUCACCUCCCAGAGACCUGGCCCAGCGGGUCCUCAUGGCAGCACCACCCCCUCCCGGUGCCCACGACCAUUCGUCUCCCACCCCGCGUUCUCCAGGAUUUCCAAAGACGCCCGUUUAGAUCCACAGAGCUGGAAGACAGCUGUUCCUGCAUCACACCAGAAUGGAGAAGCAAGCUCCUCCCACUAGCAGAAAGCCUUUGCUUUCUGUGCCUGGAUUCGGAAGAUUAGUUAAGCACUGGAAGAGGAGGGGGGAAACAACAACUCGUUUUUGCUUUUUAGAAAGAAAAAAACACAUUAAUGAGCCCAAGAAAUACACGCAACUCUGCAACUCUGUAGAUUUCCACCUAUUCCCAUCCUCCACAGUCUCCCAUCCCACCAGCAACACACGUGAGAUAUCUGAUGCCUUCCCAUCAAUAACUCUCACUUAGUAAGGAUAAGCAAAAAAUUUCCAACCAGGGAUGGAAGUUGUGGAGAGAUAGAGUGGGAAAGCUCAAGGAGCAUUGAUAGGGAUCAUUAAUUAAAAAUCUACCAAACAUCUCUUUCUCUCCCUAAUGUGCGAGUUACAAUAACGUCACUCAAAGCAGUUUGCAGCCACAGCUUG